UACGUAGGGUGCAAGCGUUGUCCGGAAUUAUUGGGCGUAAAGAGCUCGUAGGCGGUCUGUCGCGUCAGCUGUGAAAACUCGGGGCUCAACUCCGAGCUUGCAGUCGAUACGGGCAGGCUAGAGUUCGGCAGGGGAGACUGGAAUUCCUGGUGUAGCGGUGAAAUGCGCAGAUAUCAGGAGGAACACCGGUGGCGAAGGCGGGUCUCUGGGCCGAUACUGACGCUGAGGAGCGAAAGCGUGGGGAGCGAACAGG
This 253-nucleotide ribosomal RNA is filed under the name uncultured bacterium. Its description in RNAcentral is "partial 16S ribosomal RNA". It matches the Rfam family "Bacterial small subunit ribosomal RNA", at positions 524 to 776 of the family's 1533-position model. The record is from RNAcentral.